AGCAGUAGCCGCGGUAAUACGGAGGGAGCUAGCGUUGUUCGGAAUUACUGGGCGUAAAGCGCGCGUAGGCGGUUACUCAAGUCAGAGGUGAAAGCCCGGGGCUCAACCCCGGAACUGCCUUUGAAACUAGGUGACUAGAAUCUUGGAGAGGUCAGUGGAAUUCCGAGUGUAGAGGUGAAAUUCGUAGAUAUUCGGAAGAACACCAGUGGCGAAGGCGACUGACUGGACAAGUAUUGACGCUGAGGUUCGAAAGCGUGGGGAGCAAACAGGAUUAGAUACCCCCGUAGUCCCUGUCUCUUAUAA
This 303-nucleotide ribosomal RNA is filed under the name uncultured bacterium. RNAcentral's name for it is "partial 16S ribosomal RNA". It matches the Rfam family "Bacterial small subunit ribosomal RNA", at positions 507 to 809 of the family's 1533-position model. The record is from RNAcentral.